This 1640-nucleotide long non-coding RNA is filed under the name Schizosaccharomyces pombe (fission yeast). The record is from RNAcentral. Lineage: Eukaryota; Fungi; Ascomycota; Schizosaccharomycetes; Schizosaccharomycetales; Schizosaccharomycetaceae.
AAGAGAGCGAAUGAACAAGGCGAAGCACAAGAAAAGGAGAGCAAACAACUAUGAAAACAUCGUAUUUGGUUUUUACAAAAUACGUGAAACAAUAUAAUGUCUGAACUUUGGUUGAUACAUCACAAAAAUAGACGCAAAGAUGAACGGAAGUAGCUACAUAUGACCAACAUUAUUACACAACAACGACACUUCGAGUUGAACCCAAUGCCUUGGAAAAGAGAGAGAAAAAAUCUCCUGAUCCUUACACACUAAACUCUUCAAGAAAGAUUUAACCAAACUAUCAUCUACAGAUAAGUUCGCGUCUUUCCAAAAUGUGCUCAGGCAAACCGCAACAACGAUCGCCUUCAAAGAAACUCAAUCCCCUUCAACUGUAUACUUAUCAAAUGAAUCUGAGAUAAAUGGCAAACAUCGAAACACCUCUUCAUCAGGUUCGGUGCUUGCGCAUACAAGUAUUCGUGUCAAAAUACAUACCUGUGCAUAGAUCUCCAAAUUUUCGCCUUUUUUUUGCUGAGGUCCUACAAUCAAUCGACCCAAUCAAAUAUAUUGACGGAUCUGAUGUUUUUUUAAUGUUUUUAUAAAAGGAAUAAGCAAAUCCUAUGAAUCCGUACGUGUAAAAGAGGUUGUUUGUUUGUUCCAAGUUGUGCAAGACCAGUAAAACUCAAGAACGUUUGGUGGUGGGGAUUUGCGCGGUGCGUUAACGCAUAUUUUCUACAUUAUGUCUCACUUCAAUAAACAGUGGCUCGGAAAUUCACCGUAACGAUAAAACAGUGAAAGUAUUUACCGACCCAAUCAUUCGUUUACUAAUGCUAAAUUUGAUACUAUAACUGUUGAUAAUUGGACGUAUUGAACUAAAGCGAUUCUGUAGAAGCCAAUAUCUUGACUCGCUAAAGUUACACGUAGCCAAUAAAAGGGGUUACCACCUUCCUCUCAGCGUACAUUAUUGGUCAAUGCAAGAAAAGGUUUCUAAGGAUUUAAAAGGCUUCUCCGUGUUGCGUUAUUCGACAUAACACUUGCAAGUGAAUCCUUAUUUAUAAAAGAGAUGGAUAAGGAAAGACAACGUAUCCAUCACCGGUAAUUGUAUGACAAGCAGAAGCUAUAUAUCAAAGGAAUUGUACAUUCGUUCUCAGCUAUUUCUCACUAGCCAGAUGUUACUAUUCUUCACUUGUCUUGCACGCUUCCCAAACCAUUUCGACCGCCCGAAAACAAUCAAUACCAAUUAAUACUUACGACAUCAUUGAGAAGAAAUGUUAUAAAUAGACCUUAGCUAAACUGAAGGAACAUAUACUCUCAAUUGCAAAAAUGGUUACUAAAACCGAUGUAUUACGGUUAGUUGUAUUACAAAAAUUUAUUUAAAAUGUAUGUUAGUAUGUCAUCAAUUAUUCAUGCUUCUUGUCCUUGAUUAUUGUUAUAUAUCUUUUGAGCGCACAUCAAAUAAAUUAAACGGAUUGGUAAUUACAAAACAGACAUGCUGAGUUUGUGUAAAAAUCAUCGCUAAUUCUAGGUGGUAUAUUUAAUCUAUCCUAUAGAAGAAAUUACCUUUACUCGUUAGUAAUGUCUCGUACCAUUGACACAGUCUAAUACAUUAGCAAUUAAAAAAGACUGUGGCAUGGCCUGUAAAAAAUACGCAUCUAGCUCUUAUU